GGUUCUGGCGUGAGAUUGAAGUUACAGCCACUUCCAGGAAGGAAGGAGAUAACAAAGAUACAGUGUCCAGCUUCGAUGUAAUAGGAUAAUUUGAAAUUGCAGUCAUCGUUUGCAACUACACUGUCAUAAUGGCCAGAAAGCUUAUCGCGUCGACGGGAUUAUGGUAAUCCAACAGAUUGGAACCACUAAGCCUAUGUUGGCGGAGAAUUUUCCCGGAUGCCUGCCUAUUGCAAACACAUCCCCGUUGAUUGGUCAGGCUACGUAAUUAAAGUUAACUCAAGUUUUUUAACGAAUCUUCAUUACCCUGAAAGAAAUAAUCACUGCCGAGCCGUGGAUGCCAUCGAUAUGGUAUAAAUUGGACAACUGAUAGUCGUAUUGUUUUACGCCGAAACAACAGGAUUUCUCCACUAUCUACAGGAAUUC
Molecule: long non-coding RNA, 423 nt
Organism: Daphnia carinata
Lineage: Eukaryota; Metazoa; Arthropoda; Branchiopoda; Diplostraca; Daphniidae
Exons: 3
Source: RefSeq, a predicted model, not a curated record